UGAGCAAUCUGCCCUUCUCAUCGGAAUAAGCGUUGGAAACGACGUCUAAUGCCGAAUACGACCUCCUUUCGCAUGAUCGGAGGUGGAAAGCUCCGGCGGAGAAGGAUGAGCUCGCGGCCUAUCAGCUAGUUGGUGUGGGUAAUGGCCCACAAGGCGACGACGGGUAGCCGGCCUGAGAGGGUGACCGGCCACACGUGGGACUGAGACACGGCCCAGACUCCUACGGGAGCA
This 231-nucleotide ribosomal RNA is filed under the name uncultured bacterium. Its description in RNAcentral is "partial 16S ribosomal RNA". It matches the Rfam family "Bacterial small subunit ribosomal RNA", at positions 118 to 347 of the family's 1533-position model. The record is from RNAcentral.